Molecule: long non-coding RNA, 1657 nt
Organism: Nelumbo nucifera (sacred lotus)
Lineage: Eukaryota; Viridiplantae; Streptophyta; Magnoliopsida; Proteales; Nelumbonaceae
Source: RefSeq, a predicted model, not a curated record
AAAAACAUCCGACGGUUCAGAUCUUUCUUUUCUCAUUAAUAACAAUUUUUUAGCAAGUGAGGGGAUAACGAGAAGGAGAUGCAUGAUGGUUAUUGUCGUCAGAGAAGGAGGUAUGGCAUUGAUAGAACACCUAAGAAUGAACCGAUCACAGUUACAUGUAUAUCUAUUUAAUGAAAAAAAGGGACUUCGAGUUCUAGUGAAUUACUUGCCGGCAAAGGAUUUAUUACUACAAGGAGAUGCGUAAUGGUUACCGUCAUCGGAGAAGGAAGUCUGGAAAAAUUGAUAUUACCAUUUUAGCCAGAAGUGCAGAGGUAUAUGAGAAAACGAGAAGAUCCUGAGAGGUUUUAACCGAAAAUGCUCGCCGACGACAUGAAUCCAGCGAGGAGUAGUGAUAGUGACGAGUAGCAAGGGGAGGACGGCUCAAGGAAGGAACACCGAACAAAAGGAAAAAAAAAACUUCAAACUCAAAUCUGGGUGUCUGAAAUAUAUUCGACGGGGUUUUAAUCAAACGUACUCACCGCACGAGGAGUAUUUACCGAGGAGAACUAGCAGUGACAAGUAGCAACAGGAGAUAAUGAGCAGCGUGAUCUACCAGACAAGUUCAACUUUCAAACAUGUCAUCGGCCAUGUGAGUUCCACAUCGGAUCCACGCCGAUAAGCUAUUGCGCGGGAAUGUGGGGCGUUGGAGGAAACUCCAGAGUCCAGAUUCAGUGGACCCUUGGGAGGCGUGCGCGUUACCCACUUCAAAUUAAUCUUAACGUUAACAGGCUCUUGGGCGUUGAUCAAUUGAAUCCGGUUGGAUCGGACAAAAAAAAUUACAGCUGACGUUCGUGACUGUGAAAUACACCGGCGGCAAGAAAUCAAUUGGCGAUAAGUAUGCCUGUCUCCUCCUUCUUCUUCUUCUCAUCUCAUUAUUCUGACGCCGGCGGUCAUCAGCCAUCAGAACGAAGGUCCACCAGGGGAACAUGUACUCUCUCCACCGUAUCAUUCGAACCCUACCCUAUUACCAGAUCAUCGGCGACCAACACCAACCGACGUCCAUGAGGAGCUUCUAUCCAAAAUGGUCUCUUGAGUCUUGAUUAUGAAAUUCAAGCUAGCUCCUUACUAGAAAUUGCUGGUUUCCCAAGACGUACUAGUUUCCUGUCAUGAAGAUCAAUAUUGCUUUGGCCAUGCUUAAUUUUGGUAGGUAUGCUUUACCACAUUCCUGCAAAGAGUUGAAGUUGCAGAGUUUUGUUUGUUGGCCUAUUCAAGAUACUGGGUACUGGAAACAAGGCCAAGCUACUGGAAACAAGCUGAUGCCAUUCAUUGGGUGCCCUAGGGUUGCCAUGUGGCAAUUCAUGCCACUUGCUGCAAUUGGUGCCUCACAAGAUCAUGUUCUCUGCCCCCGGUUGCUUAAGCCGGAAGAUCUUGGUGAUAGAUUAGCCUUAAUGUGCCUAGAAAAAUGUUCAGUGUCUUUGAUCUUUUUUCCUUGUUGGCUUCAUUUUAGUUGGAAAUCAGAAAUAACCGGAUUAGAUGGGUUUAAAACAUUCGGAAUUUUGUAAUUUUGUUAACCCGGUAUUGUUGCUCAUUUGUAAAAUCGGAUCCAAGUAAUUUAUUUUGGAUUCUCGUCUAUGUAUGUUUGGCACGUCAAUGUUAUUCAUUAGAUAUUUAAUUUGCA